AUGGCGCCGCCAGGCGAGAGCGGCGGCCCCAGCAACGGCGGCGCGCGCCGGAAGAACCUGACGGCCGCCCUCAGGCUGUUCCUCGUGUGCAUGGUCUCCGGCGGCAUCCAGUACAUCUGCGCCCUAGAGAUGUCCCUCCUCUCGCCCUACUCCCAGAAUCUUGGGAUUCCUCACAAGUAUGCUUCCAUGAUCUGGAUUGGCGGACCGAUCGCAGGAUUUCUGGUAAACCCCAUCGUGGGCUACUAUAGCGACCGAUGCACCAUGAGGAUAGGACGCAGGAGGCCCUUCAUCAUCCUAGAAUGCCUCAUCAUAUGCAUCUCUGGCAUGCUCAUUGGUUUCUCCGCGGACAUUGGGCAAUACCUUGGCGACACCAAAGAGAACUGCAGCACCUACACCGGCCCUCGCUGGGCUGCCACGGCGGUGUACGUCGUCGGCUUCUUGUUGCUGGACUGCGUCAUCCAUACCGCACAGGCGUCGGUUCGAGCAAUGAUGUCUGACCUAUCCGCUGCGAAUCAUGGCCCUAGUGUCGGCCAGGCGAUCUUCUCCGUGUGGAUGGCCAUCGGCAGCAUCCUUGGCUACGCAGUCGUUGCCUACGGAACAUGGCACCAGUGGUUCCCCUCUCUGAAAUCUAGCGCGUGCUGCAACGCUUGCGCAGAUCUUAAGGGCGCUUUCUUGACUGCUGUGGUGCUCAUUGUCAUCAGCACAGUAGUGACCAUGCUCCUCGCUGAUGAGCAGUCCCUCGAUAAUGAGGGUGUUGGCGGUGCCGCCUUUGCUCAAACUUGCGGCAGCCUCGACGCAUUCAUCGACCUCUUCGCGAGCUUGAAGAACAUGAGUCCUGCCAUGUUCAGAGUGCUCGCUUUAACAGCCUUCACCUGGCUCUCCUGGUUCCCGUUCCUGCAGUAUAACACGGACUGGAUGGGUCGCGAGAUUUACCACGGCAACCCGAACGGGGUGGCUGACAUGGCCGCCGACAAAUACAAUGCCGGUGUCCGCGAAGGAGCCAUUGGGCUCCUCCUCUGCUCGGCCUCCCUCGGGGCUACCUCCUUCCUCAUCCCCAAGCUAUGCCGCAAGCUGACGUCCAAGGUCAUCUGGUCCAUCAGUCUCUUCUCAGUGUUCCUCAUCAUGGCAGGGAUGGUUGCCGUCGGCGUCGUCUCGACAAAGGGGUACGACCCGUCUCUGAGCACCAGCCUCACCGUCGCUGGCCCCGACAACAGUCUCAAUGCCCUAGCGCUCACCAUGUUUGCGCUCAUCGGGAUCCCACAGGCUGUGUUGUACAGUGUUCCAUGGGCGGUCGCCGCUCAGCUCGCGGCGGGGGAGGGUGGUGGCCAAGGAGUCACCGUUGGUGCGAUCACCAAUGUUAUAUCCCUAGCGCAACUGCUAGUCGGCCUCACUGCCGGUCCGAUAGACGGGGCCUUCAACAAGGGCAACGCACCGGCCUUUGGUAUCGGUGGUGUCAUCGCCUUCAUAUGUGCUAUCCUGGUGGUGCUGGCGCUUCCAGAUACCAAGGACGGCAGGGGGCUAAAAAGACUGUUAUUGAGCAGGGAAGAUUGGUCAAAUUGA
RNAcentral lists this ribosomal RNA (1560 nucleotides) under Triticum aestivum (bread wheat). RNAcentral's name for it is "partial small subunit ribosomal RNA". The record is from RNAcentral. Lineage: Eukaryota; Viridiplantae; Streptophyta; Magnoliopsida; Poales; Poaceae.